UCAAAUUUGAAAUCUGGCCCUCGGGUCCGAGUUGUAAUUUGUAGAGGAUGCUUUUGGUGCGGUACCUUCCGAGUUCCCUGGAACGGGACGCCAUAGAGGGUGAGAGCCCCGUCUGGUUGGAUGCCAAUCCUCUGUAAAGCUCCUUCGACGAGUCGAGUAGUUUGGGAAUGCUGCUCUAAAUGGGAGGUAUAUGUCUUCUAAAGCUAAAUAUUGGCCAGAGACCGAUAGCGCACAAGUAGAGUGAUCGAAAGAUGAAAAGCACUUUGAAAAGAGAGUUAAAAAGCACGUGAAAUUGUUGAAAGGGAAGCGCUUAUGACCAGACUUGGGCUUGGUUGAUCAUCCGGCGUUCUCGCCGGUGCACUCUUCCGGCUCAGGCCAGCAUCAGUUUGCUUCGGGGGAUAAAGGCUUUGGGAAUGUGGCUCCCUCGGGAGUGUUAUAGCCCACUGUGCAAUACC
RNAcentral lists this ribosomal RNA (455 nucleotides) under Scolecofusariella peltigerae. RNAcentral describes it as "Scolecofusarium ciliatum partial 28S ribosomal RNA". It matches the Rfam family "Eukaryotic large subunit ribosomal RNA", at positions 109 to 575 of the family's 3401-position model. The record is from RNAcentral. Lineage: Eukaryota; Fungi; Ascomycota; Sordariomycetes; Hypocreales; Nectriaceae.